Molecule: ribosomal RNA, 1287 nt
Filed under: metagenome
Description: bacterial SSU rRNA
Rfam family: Bacterial small subunit ribosomal RNA
Source: RNAcentral
UAGCUAGUUGGUGAGGUAAAGGCUUACCAAGGCGACGAUCUGUAGCGGGUCUGAGAGGAUGAUCCGCCACACUGGAACUGAGACACGGUCCAGACUCCUACGGGAGGCAGCAGUGGGGAAUUUUGGACAAUGGGGGCAACCCUGAUCCAGCCAUGCCGCGUGAGUGAAGAAGGCCUUCGGGUUGUAAAGCACUUUCGGCCGGGAAGAAAUCGCAUGGGCCAAUACCCUGUGUGGAUAACGGUACCGGAAUAAGAAGCACCGGCUAACUACGUGCCAGCAGCCGCGGUAAUACGUAGGGUGCGAGCGUUAAUCGGAAUUACUGGGCGUAAAGCGUGCGCAGGCGGUUUUGUAAGACAGGCGUGAAAUCCCCGGGCUUAACCUGGGAACUGCGUUUGUGACUGCAAGGCUAGAGUACGGCAGAGGGGGGUGGAAUUCCACGUGUAGCAGUGAAAUGCGUAGAGAUGUGGAGGAACACCAAUGGCGAAGGCAGCCCCCUGGGUCGAUACUGACGCUCAUGCACGAAAGCGUGGGUAGCAAACAGGAUUAGAUACCCUGGUAGUCCACGCCCUAAACUAUGUCAACUAGGUGUUGGGUGGGUAAAACCAUUUAGUACCGUAGCUGACGCGUGAAGUUGACCGCCUGGGGAGUACGGCCGCAAGGUUAAAACUCAAAGGAAUUGACGGGGACCCGCACAAGCGGUGGAUGAUGUGGAUUAAUUCGAUGCAACGCGAAAAACCUUACCUACCCUUGACAUGCCAGGAACUUGCCAGAGAUGGCUUGGUGCCCGAAAGGGAGCCUGGACACAGGUGCUGCAUGGCUGUCGUCAGCUCGUGUCGUGAGAUGUUGGGUUAAGUCCCGCAACGAGCGCAACCCUUGUCGUUAAUUGCCAUCAUUUAGUUGGGCACUUUAACGAGACUGCCGGUGACAAACCGGAGGAAGGUGGGGAUGACGUCAAGUCCUCAUGGCCCUUAUGGGUAGGGCUUCACACGUCAUACAAUGGUCGGUACAAAGGGUUGCCAAGCCGCGAGGCGGAGCCAAUCCCAGAAAGCCGAUCGUAGUCCGGAUUGCAGGCUGCAACUCGCCUGCAUGAAGUCGGAAUCGCUAGUAAUCGUGGAUCAGCAUGUCACGGUGAAUACGUUCCCGGGUCUUGUACACACCGCCCGUCACACCAUGGGAGCGGGUUCCGCCAGAGGUAGGUAGCCUAACCGCAAGGGGGGCGCUUACCACGGCGGGGUUCGUGACUGGGGUGAAGUCGGAACAAGGUAGCCGUAGGGGAACCUGCGGCUG